This 783-nucleotide ribosomal RNA is filed under the name uncultured Neocallimastigales. RNAcentral describes it as "partial large subunit ribosomal RNA". It matches the Rfam family "Eukaryotic large subunit ribosomal RNA", at positions 23 to 631 of the family's 3401-position model. Lineage: Eukaryota; Fungi; Neocallimastigomycota; Neocallimastigomycetes; Neocallimastigales. The record is from RNAcentral.
ACACGCAUGACACACUGCAUAUCAAUAAGCGGAGGAAAAGAAACUAACAAGGAUUCCCUUAGUAACGGCGAGUGAAGCGGGAAGAGCUCAAAUUUGAAAUCUUCAAGGGUUCUACCUUGACGAAUUGUAGUUUAUAAGAAGUGUUUUCUGUUAGUAGAGGUGGCUAAAAGUUCUUUGGAAUAGGACAUCAUAGAGGGUGAGAAUCCCGUAUUUGGAUCAUUCUUUCUAACGUUGUGAUACACUUUCAACGAGUCGGAUUGUUUGGGAAUGCAGUCCAAAAUGGGUGGUAAAUUUCAUCUAAAGCUAAAUAUUGGCGAGAGACCGAUAGCGAACAAGUACCGUGAGGGAAAGAUGAAAAGAACUUUGAAAAGAGAGUUAAACAGUACGUGAAAUUGUCAAAAGGGAAGCGUUUGACACCAGUGUUGUUUUUCCGAAAAUCAAUUACGAAUGGUUUGAUUUUGAGAGUUAUGACCUUCAUAAGCUUGCUUCUCUCUUUUACGAUACUUUCGUAAUGCACUUUUCGGUUAACAAGUCAACAUCAAUUUCUUUUGUUGUAAAAGGGUAAUGAGGAAGGUGGCUUUACUUUCGGAGUAAAGUGUUUAUAGCCUUGUAACCUCUGCAAUCGGAGAGAUUGAGGUCUGCAGCGUAGAUCCUUCGGGGUUAGAUACAUUUGUGCUAAGUUAUAGCUUUUCAUAGACAACUUGUCGACUAUGUUAAGUCUUGUACUUACUCGCAGUAUGCUAUUUUACCUACGCUUAGGAUGUUGAUCUACAGAGCGAGAGU